CAGGACGAACGCUGGCGGUGUGCUUAACACAUGCAAGUGGUGCGACGAACCAGAGCUUGCUCUGGGGCAAAGCCGCGAACGGGUGAGUAACACGUGGGUAAUCUACCCCGAUGACCGGGACAACCCGAGGAAACUCGGGCUAAUACCGGAUGUGGUACGGAGACAUAAGUCUCUUUACUAAAGGUAGCUUCGGCUUCCGCAUUGGGAGGGGCCCGCGGCCCAUUAGCUAGUUGGUGGGGUCAAGGCCUACCAAGGCAACGAUGGGUAGCUGGUCUGAGAGGACGAUCAGCCACACUGGGACUGAGACACGGCCCAGACUCCUACGGGAGGCAGCAGUGGGGAAUCUUGCGCAAUGCGCGAAAGCGUGACGCAGCAACACCGCGUGAGGGAAGACGGCCUUAGGGUUGUAAACCUCUUUCAGAUGGGACGAAGGUGAUGCGGUGAAUAGCCGAUGUCAUUGACGGUACCGUCAGAAGAAGCUCCGGCUAACUACGUG
RNAcentral lists this ribosomal RNA (496 nucleotides) under uncultured bacterium. Its description in RNAcentral is "bacterial SSU rRNA". It matches the Rfam family "Bacterial small subunit ribosomal RNA", at positions 25 to 507 of the family's 1533-position model. The record is from RNAcentral.